CGGCCCGCGUCGUGCUCAUGUUUCUUGGAUUGUUCAUGUUUUUAGCCGCAAUCACUUUAAACUCUCUUUCAGGAUUUGGAGCUGAAUCAGGUGUUUUCCAGCAGAGCACGGAAGAUGUGACGCUGAAGUACACGACACAGUUCACUCCUGCACCGUGGGCUCUGUUUGUCUGGGAUUUCACUUACUUUUGGAUUUCUGCCAUGUUUAUAUACUUUUUAGCGGGACUCUGCAGAAGGACUGCUUACGACUGGUUGUACACCACGCCUGCACUGCUGCCCUACGGAUUCCAUAUCUCUAUUAUCGUCAACAUUUGCUUGAACAUCACGUGGCUGU
Paralichthys olivaceus (Japanese flounder) is the source of this 333-nucleotide non-coding RNA. NCBI's taxonomy places the organism in Eukaryota, Metazoa, Chordata, Actinopteri, Pleuronectiformes, Paralichthyidae. The record is from RefSeq and is a predicted model, not a curated record.